UACAGAGGGUGCGAGCGUUAAUCGGAAUUACUGGGCGUAAAGGGCGCGUAGGCGGCUUAACAAGUCACUUGUGAAAUCUCCGGGCUUAACUCGGAACGGCCAAGUGAAACUGUCAAGCUAGAGUGCAGAAGGGGCAAUCGGAAUUCUUGGUGUAGCGGUGAAAUGCGUAGAUAUCAUUAGGAACGCCGGUGGCGAAAGCGCCCGACUGGACCUCUUCUGACGCUGAGGCGCGAAAGCCAGGGGAGCAAACGGG
This 253-nucleotide ribosomal RNA is filed under the name uncultured bacterium. RNAcentral's name for it is "partial 16S ribosomal RNA". It matches the Rfam family "Bacterial small subunit ribosomal RNA", at positions 524 to 776 of the family's 1533-position model. The record is from RNAcentral.